GACGAACCGUGCGAACGUUGUUCGGAUUCACUGGGCUUAAAGGGCGCGUAGGCGGGUUCUCAAGUCCGGGGUGAAAUCCUCUCGCUCAACGAGAGAACUGCCUCGGAUACUGGGAACCUCGAGGGAGGUAGGGGCAUGUGGAACUUCCGGUGGAGCGGUGAAAUGCGUAGAUAUCGGAAGGAACGCCGGUGGCGAAAGCGACGUGCUGGACCUUUUCUGACGCUGAGGCGCGAAAGCCAGGGGAG
This 245-nucleotide ribosomal RNA is filed under the name uncultured Gemmata sp. RNAcentral describes it as "partial 16S ribosomal RNA". It matches the Rfam family "Bacterial small subunit ribosomal RNA", at positions 524 to 768 of the family's 1533-position model. Lineage: Bacteria; Pseudomonadati; Planctomycetota; Planctomycetia; Gemmatales; Gemmataceae. The record is from RNAcentral.